CGACAAGGAGAAGACAUGUAUGCGCUUGUGAAAUGGUGUGCCGGGUCGAUGAGGGGAAAUUUAGUAUUGUUCACAUUAAAUACAUACGAAAUUUUGAUCUGGAAAGUUUUCUAAACGGCGUGAUUACCUACGAAGACGAAUUUGCCGUCGAGUGGGGUGUGGGAAAACGGCCAAAAGGUGGAUUCCCCAUUUAUAUGGCUACCUUCAAUCAGUUGGAGGCUGCCAUUCACAAUCAAGGUGAUGAAAUCCUAGCUUCCUUGGAAGAACAAGCAGAAAAUAGUGACAACGAGCUCUCACUUGUACGUCAAGAAUUGCUAGAAAUAAAAAAAUUCAUCUUCAGAGGAGGAGAAUCCAAGGUUUCAAAGGGGGGAGAUGGGGAGAGAAGAAGCGGCCUGGAUGAAAUAAAAGUAAAAGCUAUAAUGGAUGCAGUUAUGUCAAAGCACUCGGCUGUUUCGACUGGCCAGAUCGGAACAGCCCUGAAUGGGAAGAUGGCAGAGCUAAGACUGGCAAUGUCCAGGAAAAAUGUUACUUAAAAAUGAGUUAAAAUGAGAAAUGUGUUUAAAAUUAAAAUGAGAAAUGUGUUUCCCCAGUGAGUGAGUUUAGAAAUGUUUGAAAAUGUAAUACUGAGGGAAAAAAGUGAGCACUUUGAAAAG
RNAcentral lists this long non-coding RNA (653 nucleotides) under Sander lucioperca (pikeperch). RNAcentral describes it as "lncRNA (ENSSLUG00000021602.1)". The record is from RNAcentral. Lineage: Eukaryota; Metazoa; Chordata; Actinopteri; Perciformes; Percidae.